CCUCCUCUGCCGCUCCUUCUUUCUUUCUUCCCCAACUCCUCUCUUGCACGGCGUCGUCUUGCCGCCCACGCAGCGAAGAGAUCGAGGAAGAGGCGGGAGUCGUGUCAAUCGAUCUGUCGCACGAGGAUGCGACACUCCCUGUUCCAUCUAGAUCAACGGGCGCAGAGGGAGGUGGAAGAAGAGCCACGACCUCCGAGCAGGAGGCUGUCACCUAGCACCCAUCUGACUGCGGCUAUUUUAUCCAUGAGCUGGAGGAUAAGAGAAGUGCACCUCUAAAAUUCAGAGUUUUGAACCCAAAGAGACGCAUCUAGACAAUGGUUGCAUGAGUGGUUCCAGUGUCAUAUACGCCAACAUGGUUGGAGAUUUGGGAUCGGAUGCUGCGCCAAGAACGAGGGACCAAGGUGCUGAACUAACAGCAGGGGCAGAAUGAUUCUUCAGGUUAUCCUAGACCACUUGGGGACAAUAUCAUCAAUUUCUUGCAUACUGCAAUGCAAGUUCAAAAAGCCAGUUUCUUAUUAUCUCUGUGUUCACCUAACUGACAAGAAUCAUAAAAGGAUGCACCUAAUGAGGUAGACUCCGUUCUAUGCAAUUUUUGAAGUGUACAUAUGGUGUAACUGAUUAACAAAACAUUGUUCAACCUUCUAUGAGUCCACCUAGGGAGCUGCACAGAUUUGGAACAACUUCCAGAACAGGCAUCCAAGAAUUUUGGUUUGGUACCACUAAGCUGCCAGAGCAAGAUAGCUGGGAUGUGUGUCCCAAGGGCAAUGGUAAAUCACAAAUUAGCUGAUCUUUGAUGGGAAGCAUCAGACAAUGCCAAUGUCCAGUAGUAAGAUUUGAUUGUGCAGGUGAUCAAGCCAAGAUAAGUGUUGGAGAUUUGGGAUCGGAUGCUGCGGCAAGAACGAGGGACCAAGGUGCUGAACUAACAGUAGGGGCAGAAUGAUUCUUCAAGUUAUCCUAGACCACUUGGGGACAAUAUCAUCCAUUUCUUGCAUACUGCAAUGCAAGUUCAAAAAGCCAGUUUCUUAUUAUCUCUGUGUUCACCUAACUGCCAAGAAUCAUAAAAGGAUGCACCUAAUGAGGGAGCUGCACAGAUUUGGAACAACUUCCAGAACAGGCUUCCAAGAAUUUUGGUUUGGUACCACUAAGCUGUUAGAGAAACAUAGCUGGGAUGUGAGUCCCUAGGGCAAUGGUAAAUCACAAAUUGGCUGAUCUUUGAUGGGAAGCAUCAGGCAAUGCCAAUGUCCAGUAGCAAGAUUUGAUUGUGCAGGUGAUCAAGCCAAGAUAAGUGUGCGUACAUCCCCUUUUAGUCCAAAUUAAUAAAAAUAUGAUUUCUGCUAUGAUAGUUUCCACAAUAGUUUGGCCCUUGAGACACUUCCACUGUAUGCAUGUGUGUUCCUUUUUUUUCCAGAGAUAUGCAUGUCUAUUGAUCAUUAUUGGAACUGGUUCGACAAACUGUGUAUAUGUGACAAAUUUACUAAUAUACUGACCCUGCCUGAUAAUAUGACUAAUCCAUUGAUACGUCCAUUUUGCAUCAUGCUUUUAUAUCGAUAUUUAUUGCAUUAUGGGCUGUUAUAUACACAUUAUGUCACAAUACUUAUGCCUUUUCUUUCUUAUUUUACAAGGUUUACAUGAAGAGGGAGAAUGCCGGCAGCUGGAAUUCUGGGCUGGAAAAGGAGCAAAUAUUAGAGACCUAUUCGGCACAACUCCAAAAGUCUUGAAACUCCACGAAAGUCAGUUUUGGAAUAUAUUAAAAAUAUUGGGUGAAGAAAGCACCAGAGGGGGGCCACCCACUGUCCACGAGGGUGGAGGGCGCGCCCCCUGCCUCGUGGGCCACCUGGAAGCCCCCCGAUGCCCAUCUUCUGGUAUAAGGUGUCUUUUGCCCUGGAAAAAAUAAGAAGGAAGCUUUCGGGAUGAAGCGCCGCCGUCUCGAUACGGAUCCUUGGCGGAAUCAAUCUAGGGCUCUGGCGGAGCUGUUCUGCCGGGGAAACAUCCCUCCGGGAGGGGGAAAUUGUCACCAUCGAUCCUCUCAUCGGAAGGGGGUCAAUCUCCAUCAACAUCUUCACCAGCACCAUCUCCUCUCAAACCCUAGUUCAUCUCUUGUAUCCGAUCUUUGUCUCAAAACCUCAGAUUGGUACCUGUGGGUUGCUAGUAGUGUUGAUUACUCCU
Molecule: non-coding RNA, 2166 nt
Organism: Aegilops tauschii subsp. strangulata
Lineage: Eukaryota; Viridiplantae; Streptophyta; Magnoliopsida; Poales; Poaceae
Source: RefSeq, a predicted model, not a curated record